Molecule: ribosomal RNA, 496 nt
Filed under: uncultured bacterium
Lineage: Bacteria
Description: partial 16S ribosomal RNA
Rfam family: Bacterial small subunit ribosomal RNA
Source: RNAcentral
ACUCAAAUGAAUUGACGGGGGCCCGCACAAGCAGUGGAGCAUGUGGUUUAAUUGGAUGCUACGCCAAGAACCUUACCAAGACUUGACUUCCCGGUGUAAGCUCCUAGAAAUAGGAGGCCCCUUCGGGCACCGGUGACAGGUGGUGCAUGGUUGUCGUCAGCUCGUGCCGUGAGGUGUUGGAUUAAGUUCCGCAACGAGCGCAACCCUCGUCGUUAGUUGCCAUCAUUAAGUUGGGCACUCUAGCGAGACUGCCGGCGUCAAGCCGGAGGAAGGUGGGGAUGACGUCAAAUCAUCAUGCCCCUUACGUCUUGGGCUACACACGUGCUACAAUGGGCGAUACAACAGGCUGCCACACCGCGAGGUGGAGCGAAUCCCUAAAGUCGUCCUCAGUUCGGAUUGCAGGCUGCAACUCGCCUGCAUGAAGCUGGAAUUGCUAGUAACCGUGCAUCAGCAUGGCGCGGUGAAUACGUACCCGGGCCUUGUACACACCGCCCGU